GAUGAACGCUGGCGGUGUGCUUAACACAUGCAAGUCGAACGAUGAAGCCCAGCUUGCUUGCUCUUUUAGUGGCGGACGGGUGAGUAACACGUGAGUAAAUCGCCCUCUACUCUUGGAUAAGCCCGGACAACUGGGACCAAUACUUGAUAGCAAAGACUACCUCAGGGUGGGAGCUGGAAAGAAUUUCGGUUUUGGCUAGACGCGCGGCCUAUCAGCUUGUUGGUGGGGUAAUGGCUCACCAAGGCGGAGACGGGUAGUCGGCCUGGGAGGGGGACCGGCCACCCGGGGACUGCGGGAGGGACCAGACUCGUACGGGAGGCAGUAGUGGGGAGUAUUACACAAUGAGCGAGAGCCUGUUGCGGCGGCGCCGCGUUAGGGAUGACGUCCUUCGGGUUGUAAAACUCUGUCGGUAGAGAAGAAGCGAAAGUGACGGUACCUGCAGAAGAAGCACCGGCUAACUACGUG
Molecule: ribosomal RNA, 465 nt
Filed under: uncultured bacterium
Lineage: Bacteria
Description: partial 16S ribosomal RNA
Rfam family: Bacterial small subunit ribosomal RNA
Source: RNAcentral